CAGAGAAUCAACACAUGUCAGUCAUGCAGAGUGUAAGGACCUGAUGGGGCUGUGGAAAAAAGAAGAAGCAGGGCGGGGUAAGAGGGAUCAGGUGUGCUGGGCAGGAUGGAUGAAGAUAUCGCAUCGAGUGGCCACGGUAGGCCUCAUAGAGCAGGUCCGGCUUCGGGGUGACCAGAUGGGCUAAUGACCCACCCCCAACCCCAUUAAGGCCUUGCCUUUGCUACCAGCUCGCUAAUCCCAGAUGCACUUUCCAGGGUGACCUUCUGCCCUGGAGACCACCCUGGAGUUGGCUCUGUUGUUUGGGGCACAGAAGAAAAGCUUCCAUCUCACGGAGAUGAAAGAGCGCAAAUUUGAUGGAGGUUUGGGGAAAGAGGAGGAAGCACGUGACUUGAGAAAAGGGUAUCCCGACCUCCUCAAGCUUGACUGAACAUUUCAGGGCCAACUCUGCCCAAGGGCCUACGAAGGGGCUCCAUCAGGAGCCAUGGACGCCAUAUGCAGAUUUCAUCAUGCACACGAAUGAGAGGAAAAUCCAGACACAACCCAAAGGGCUCACCCCUGACUGAGGUGAUUUUUUUUUUUUACUACAAUUCAGAAAAUUCCUCCUUCCUACAGUGUUCUCAGCUUAUUCCACAUUUAAAUGCAGCUGGAAAGGGA
RNAcentral lists this long non-coding RNA (654 nucleotides) under Equus caballus (horse). RNAcentral's name for it is "lncRNA (ENSECAG00000047774.1)". Lineage: Eukaryota; Metazoa; Chordata; Mammalia; Perissodactyla; Equidae. The record is from RNAcentral.